RNAcentral lists this ribosomal RNA (484 nucleotides) under uncultured bacterium. Its description in RNAcentral is "partial 16S ribosomal RNA". It matches the Rfam family "Bacterial small subunit ribosomal RNA", at positions 30 to 507 of the family's 1533-position model. The record is from RNAcentral.
AUUGAACGCUGGCGGCAUGCUUUACACAUGCAAGUCGAACGGCAGCGCGGGCUUCGGCUUGGCGGCGAGUGGCGAACGGGUGAGUAAUGCAUCGGAACGUGCCCAGUAGUGGGGGAUAGUCCGGCGAAAGCCGGAUUAAUACCGCAUACGACCUGAGGGUGAAAGCGGGGGACCGAAAGGCCUCGCGCUAUUGUAGCGGGCGAUGUCGGAUUCGCUAGUCGGUGGGGUAAAGGCUUUACAAGGCUACUAGCCGUAGCUGAUCUGCGAGGACGACCAGCCACACUGGGAUUGAGCCGCCCCCUAGACUCCUACGGGCGCCUGCAGUGGGGACUUUUGGUCGAUCGAUGCUACCCUGUUCCAGCCAUCCCUCGCGCCGUAAGGCGACCUUCGGGUUGUAGUCCCUUUUUGUUCGGGAAGAAUUCCUCUGGGCUGAUACCGCGGGCGGAUGACGUUACCGGAAGAAUAAGCACCGGCUAGCUACGUG